RNAcentral lists this ribosomal RNA (332 nucleotides) under uncultured bacterium. RNAcentral describes it as "bacterial SSU rRNA". It matches the Rfam family "Bacterial small subunit ribosomal RNA", at positions 568 to 898 of the family's 1533-position model. The record is from RNAcentral.
CGCGUAGGUGGUCACUUAAGUCAGAUGUGAAAUCCCUGGGCUUAACCUAGGAAUUGCAUUUGAAACUGAGUGGCUAGAGUAUGGGAGAGGGAAGUGGAAUUUCCGGUGUAGCGGUGAAAUGCGUAGAUAUCGGAAGGAACACCAGUGGCGAAGGCGACUUCCUGGCCCAUUACUGACACUGAGGCGCGAAAGCGUGGGGAGCGAACAGGAUUAGAUACCCUGGUAGUCCACGCCGUAAACGAUGAGAACUAGAUGUUAGGGGUCUUAGAACCUUUAGUAUCGCAGCAAACGCGUUAAGUUCUCCGCCUGGGGAGUACGGCCGCAAGGUUAAA